This 492-nucleotide ribosomal RNA is filed under the name uncultured bacterium. RNAcentral describes it as "partial 16S ribosomal RNA". It matches the Rfam family "Bacterial small subunit ribosomal RNA", at positions 29 to 507 of the family's 1533-position model. The record is from RNAcentral.
AGUGAACGCUGGCGGUAGGCCUAACACAUGCAAGUCGAACGGCAGCACAGUAAGAGCUUGCUCUUACGGGUGGCGAGUGGCGGACGGGUGAGGAAUACAUCGGAAUCUACUUUUUCGUGGGGGAUAACGUAGGGAAACUUACGCUAAUACCGCAUACGACCUACGGGUGAAAGCAGGGGAUCUUCGGACCUUGCGCGAUCGAAUGAGCCGAUGUCGGAUUAGCUAGUUGGCGGGGUAAAGGCCCACCAAGGCGACGAUCCGUAGCUGGUCUGAGAGGAUGAUCAGCCACACUGGAACUGAGACACGGUCCAGACUCCUACGGGAGGCAGCAGUGGGGAAUAUUGGACAAUGGGCGCAAGCCUGAUCCAGCCAUACCGCGUGGGUGAAGAAGGCCUUCGGGUUGUAAAGCCCUUUUGUUGGGAAAGAAAAGCAGCAGGUUAAUACCCCGCUGUUCUGACGGUACCCAAAGAAUAAGCACCGGCCAACUUCGUG